GCACUGCUGAGGAGUCCCAUACCAGGACGAAACGGCCGUCUAGUGC
Non-coding RNA from Schistosoma margrebowiei, 46 nucleotides. The record is from Rfam. NCBI's taxonomy places the organism in Eukaryota, Metazoa, Platyhelminthes, Trematoda, Strigeidida, Schistosomatidae.